CCUACGGGUGGCAGCAGUGGGGAAUAUUGGGCAAUGGGCGCAAGCCUGACCCAGCAACGCCGCGUGAAGGAAGAAGGCCCUCGGGUUGUAAACCUCUUUUAAUAGGGACGAAGAAAGUGACGGUACCUGUUGAAUAAGCCACGGCUAACAACGUGCCAGCAGCCGCGGUAAUACGGAGGUGGCAAGCGUGAUCCGGAUUUACUGGGUGUAAGGGGCGUGUAGGCGGGAGAGCAAGUCAGACGUGAAAUUACAGGGCUCAACCCGGGAACUGCGUGUGAAACGGUCUUUCUUGAGUGAUGGAGAGGCAGGCGGAAUUCGGUGUGUAGCGGUGAAAUGCGUAGAUAUGCGGAGGAACACCGAUGGCGAAGGCAGCCUGCUGGACAUUAACUGACGCUGAGGCGCGAAAGCGUGGGGAGCAAACAGGAUUAGAUACCCGGGUAGUC
This 443-nucleotide ribosomal RNA is filed under the name uncultured bacterium. RNAcentral describes it as "partial 16S ribosomal RNA". It matches the Rfam family "Bacterial small subunit ribosomal RNA", at positions 338 to 795 of the family's 1533-position model. The record is from RNAcentral.